GGUUACAGGAGGGACAGAGGCGGCCGCAAGCGGCUGACGGCGCAGAAAAGGAAGGAGAUCAAGGAGGCCUUCGAUCUCUUCGACACCGAUGGCUCCGGCACCAUCGAUGCAAGGGAGCUCAACGUCGCAAUGAGAGCGCUGGGGUUUGAGAUGACGCCGGAGCAGAUCCAGCAGAUGAUCGCGGAGGUGGACAAGGACGGCAGCGGGACGAUCGACCUGGACGAGUUCAUACACAUGAUGACGGACAAGAUGGGGGAGAGGGACGCCAGGGACGAGCUCCACAAGGCCUUCCGGAUCAUCGACCAAGACGGCAACGUACGUACACUACUCACCAAGAGAUUGGAUUUGCGAUAUGUUGUGGCGAUCUCUAUCUCUCUGUUAAUGCACUCACCAAGAGAUUGGAUUUCCACCUUUCCACCAUCCUCAUUUUUUUAUGAUUGA
This 441-nucleotide ribosomal RNA is filed under the name Triticum aestivum (bread wheat). Its description in RNAcentral is "partial small subunit ribosomal RNA". Lineage: Eukaryota; Viridiplantae; Streptophyta; Magnoliopsida; Poales; Poaceae. The record is from RNAcentral.